Long non-coding RNA from Pantherophis guttatus, 640 nucleotides. RefSeq lists it as uncharacterized. The record is from RefSeq and is a predicted model, not a curated record. NCBI's taxonomy places the organism in Eukaryota, Metazoa, Chordata, Lepidosauria, Squamata, Colubridae.
GAACUGCCGUUAUUAAGCAGCAUGGCUACUUAACAUUGUGUUUUAAGACUGAGUCCCACAGUGAUAUAAAUUUUGGUCCCAUUACCUCUGUUAGGUAAGAACUACCAAUAGUUACCCUUUUAGUACCGCUACUGUGAAUGCCUACUUUAGACUCCACAGAUGAAGAAGAGAAUGAGAAGCAUAGGAAUUGUCUUUAUGGAAAAAACUAAACAAGGCUUCCAGAAGAUGGAAUCUUGCGGGGCAGGGCUGUCAAACUCCCAGCCCACGGACCGGAUUCGUCACACACUGGCCACACCCACACCUGGUUUAGCGAAGGGGGAAAAAGUCCCGAUACAUCACGUGACACCACCGUGAUGAUGUGAGUUUGACACCCCUGCUUUAGGGGAAAAAUCAUUAAAAUUAUAUAAGACUGCUACUCAAAGUAAUGACCUUGGGGAUGGAACAACAGACAGCAAAACCAAGUAGAAAAAAAAAUGCAAUAUAACAUCAUAACACAUUCAAAGGCUAUAUUCAGGAAAACUAUGGCUUGUCAUUUACAAGCAUGAGCUUCAGAUUUCCUUUUCUCCUCCUCCACUAACUUCUGUCUCCUCUGGAACCUUGCAGAAAAUAAAAAAAAAAAUUCAUUUCCACUUUCAAUUUA